CCAUGUGCGUGACCUGCGAGGUAUCCCACGAGCCGAUCGGCUGGUUGAACGCGGCGGCGCCAUAGAACAUGUACCUCAUGUUCGUGACCUUGGAGGUAUCCCACGAGCCGAUGGCUUGAUUGAACGCGGCGGCGCCUUGGAACAUGGCACCCAUGUUCGUGACCUUGGAGGUAUCCCACGAGCCGAUGGCUUGAUUGAACGCGGCGGCGCCUUCGAACAUGCGAGCCAUGUGCGUGACCUGCGAGGUAUCCCACGAGCCGAUCGGCUGGUUGAACGCGGCAGCGCCAUAGAACAUGUACUCCAUUCUCGUGACCUUGGAGGUAUCCCACGAGCCGAUGGCUUCAUUGAAAGCGGCGGCGCCACGGAACAUGUACCACAUGUGCGUGACCUGCGAGGUAUUCCACGAGCCGAUCGGCUGAUUGAACGCGGCGGCGCCAUAGAACAUGGACCCGAUGCUCGUGACCUUUGAG
This 470-nucleotide long non-coding RNA is filed under the name Micromonas commoda. RNAcentral describes it as "long non-coding RNA (MCOM_LNC000200)". Lineage: Eukaryota; Viridiplantae; Chlorophyta; Mamiellophyceae; Mamiellales; Mamiellaceae. The record is from RNAcentral.